This 2742-nucleotide long non-coding RNA is filed under the name Sorghum bicolor (sorghum). RNAcentral's name for it is "long non-coding RNA (SBIC_LNC018194)". The record is from RNAcentral. Lineage: Eukaryota; Viridiplantae; Streptophyta; Magnoliopsida; Poales; Poaceae.
UUUUCCUUAAUCUAGAAGAGUCCAGAAGCCACGGGAACGAACGGGAGACCGGACGGGCUCGGGGGCAGGGCGCCCGCCCUCCCCCCUUGGGUGCCCGCCCUGGCCUCGGGGCCAAUCAGAACCAAACUCUUGGAUCGUGAUCCACCGACCUAAAGGAUCAAAGAAAACCAUGCGAUCAAUGUCGGUUUGAUCCGACGGCCCAAAUUCACUUGAAAAGACUAUAUAAUCAAGGCCUCUCCACCCCUGGGGGAGAGAAGAGAAGAGAAGAAAUCAUUAUCAGAGGUAGCCAUCAAAGUUAGGGUUUAGGACUUCUCUCCCACAGAGAAUUAGAAUUAGCUACUCCCUAAUCCUUCAAGUUUAGAGGAUUGAUUAGAUAGAAUUAGAGAAGUAGAGCACUACGCUCUGGAUUCGGAUCUUCGGUAAUAAAGAUUGGUAUUAUUUCAUAUCUUUCUCUAAUACUUUGUUAUAAUUGCAUUAUGUCUCUAUUUAUUAUGCUCUUAGUUUGCUCUAGUUCUAUAUUUGAUAUAGUUAUGAUUGAUAAUGAGUUUAUGUAUAAGUUUGCAAAGCGCUUAGCUCUUGACACGUGGGAGUUAAGUGGUAGAUCACAUGUGGGCGUGGUGCUUAGAUGUUAUUUACCUGCAAAUGUAUCCUAUUGGCCGGGUAGUGUGGUAGUUCGUGAUAGUGACAGCUUCAUUGAUUCUUAUAUAGUCCAACCUCCGUUGAUAGGACUGGCAGAAUUUGUAUUGCGGAGUAAGUCUUGCGAUGCUCUGAUUUACUUUAGCAAUGUUCCUUAUACAUGAAUAAAGAGUCUUUUAUACUAUAUAUGAUCUUGUAGAUAACUAGAGUAGAUUGUGACUUAGUAGAUAGUAGAUAACUUAGAAUCCAUUCUCUAGCUAAUCCGACGUCACCUUACAUAUAUGAGGAGUAGUCUAUUUUCUAAUCGCUGUGUUAUUUACCCAUGAACUUAUAAUCCAUUAUCAUUAUCUUUAUGGUUUACCCCCUGCUAAAGUAAGUGACUGUGUGACGAGUUCCUCAUUAGUAAUCAUGUUCUUGCAAGUUUAUCUCUAGUCUAUGCCUUGAUAGGUUUAUCCUUAUCUUCAUUCAUUUAAUCCUUUUUUCUCCUAAGCAAAAUUAUAAAUAACGAUACCAGGAAUACUUACCUGGUGAAAUGCUACAAUGAGGUGUUUUAUCUGUGCGCUUGCGGAUAGAAUAGAUUAUUUUCUAGAGAGCCUCUAUAUUUAUAAAUAUCUUUAUACACUCUGGCACCAUGCUGGGGAUGACAACCUAGUAUCUAAGUGGUGUUAGCUAGUGUCAACAGCUGUCUAUCACUCUAUUGAGUACUCAUGCUCUGAUGGAACCAAAGAGGACGACGACGACAUUUGGGGCAUCGUUGGUGGGAAGGUAAACAAGAUGCUAUCAUGUCAUAACUCAUUCAUGGUGGAAGAAUUUUGUGUUUUAGUUUUUUUUAGUGGAUAAUUUCAGUGAAAUAUGGCAUAUGUAAAAAGCAACCUGAGAAUAACAGUAUUACAAGAUCUAGAAACAGAAGGGCAAAGUAUACUCAACUUUUGGGGAAACUUACACCUCAUUCAUUGCUAAUGCCUUGCAGAUGCACCAACGGGCUUGUACACAGAAUUUGUUGUCAAGGUUGUAGCGAUGUAAAACAGUUUGGGGAUUACCGGUAGAUGGCUGCAGCAACAGGUUGACAUAUAUAUAAUAACCAUUAUCAAGUAUAAUAGAUUGUUUUAGUUUUAUCAUAUUUUCAAAUUCAUAAGAUAGGUUGUUUAUCAUCUUUGAUGAAUGUGUGUUACCUUAGAUGUCGCCGUAGCGUUAGCACAGGUAAUAUACUAGUAUAUCUAUACUUAUCUAUAAAGAGGGAAAAUUUCAGUCUGCCCCUAAAUUUCUUCUGCCAAUUUGUCUGUGUCCUGUCCGUGUCCGGGUCGUUUGCUGAAAAAGGAGUACCUCUAUACCUAAUUUCAGCUGUUUUUUUGGCCUGAAAAUUUUUUGGUCUGUCUACUUAUAAGGAUAAGGAGAUUGGAUGUAAGAGGAACAGGAAGAAAAGAAUUCUCUCUCAAACCGGACUUUCCCAAAUCAAACUCUAUCAAACCGACCAGCAAAAUCUUGUCCAACAAAAUCCUCGUCCAGCCUCUUCGACAUACAGAAGUUGGAGACUAGAAUCCGUAUCCGUAUGUGAGCCAAAAAUAAUUUAUAAAAACAGGAAAUACUAGAGAGAUCUGAGAACCAAAUCGUAGGCCAUCAUGAUUUAGAUCGAGUCUAGAGCAAAAUACCAAAUCUAGGCUAUCAUAUAAAGAUUAGGAGAGAUCAGAGAACCAAAUCAAGCCCAUCACGGUUUAGAUCAAGACCAAAUAGAGUACAAUACCAAAUCAGAACCAUCAAAUAUACUUUAGAUCGAGACCAAACAUAGCAAACCGAGGCCAUCAACCAUGUAGCACAAAAAAUGAAGUAUAAACAGCCAGGGCCUCACCCGACGUCGUCUGCCACAAGGCCGCUAGCCGGCAACCUCCGCGCCCCCAUGGUUGGUCCCUUGCAGCCAAUGAGCCCGCGACCUCGAACGAUUGGCGGCCGGUGUGUAGAUACACCCUUCACCGGCUCUCCGCAUGCGCGGCACACUCGCGCUGCAGCCGGUUCCCGCUCUAGCUACUAGCGCCUGCGCGAUCGACGGCCAGCAGACCUACGCGGCCUCCGCACCUCGUGACUGUUUUCUCUGCGGGAGAGGGGGCUCGG